Molecule: ribosomal RNA, 253 nt
Filed under: uncultured bacterium
Lineage: Bacteria
Description: partial 16S ribosomal RNA
Rfam family: Bacterial small subunit ribosomal RNA
Source: RNAcentral
UACGGAGGGUGCAAGCGUUAAUCGGAAUUACUGGGCGUAAAGGGUGCGUAGGUGGUUUAAUAAGUUAUCUGUGAAAUUCCUGGGCUCAACCUGGGGUGGUCAGAUGAGACUGUUAGACUCGAGUAUAGGAGAGGGUAGUGGAAUUUCCGGUGUAGCGGUGAAAUGCGUAGAGAUCGGAAGGAACACCAGUGGCGAAGGCGGCUACCUGGCCUGAUACUGACACUGAGGCACGAAAGCGUGGGGAGCAAACAGG